GCCAGGCAUGGUGGCACAUGCCUGUAAUCCCAGCUACUUGGGAGGCUGAGACAGGAGAAUCACUCUAACCCAGGAGGUGGAGGUUGCAGUGAGCUGAGAUCACGCCAUUGCACUCCAGCCUGGGUGACAGAGCGAGACUCUGUCUCAA
RNAcentral lists this non-coding RNA (148 nucleotides) under Cercocebus atys (sooty mangabey). The record is from Rfam by way of RNAcentral. RNAcentral also lists the same sequence under 2 other names. Lineage: Eukaryota; Metazoa; Chordata; Mammalia; Primates; Cercopithecidae.